AACGCACAUUGCGCCCCCUGGUAUUCCGGGGGGCAUGCCUGUCCGAGCGUCAUUGCUGCCCUCAAGCACGGCUUGUGUGUUGGGUCGCCGUCCCCUUCCCGGGGGACGGGCCCGAAAGGCAGCGGCGGCACCGCGUCCGGUCCUCGAGCGUAUGGGGCUUUGUCACCCGCUCUGUAGGCCCGGCCGGCGCCUGCCGACCACCAACCUUUUUCUUAACCAGGUUGACCUCGGAUCAGGUAGGGAUACCCGCUGAACUUAA
Molecule: unclassified non-coding RNA, 259 nt
Filed under: uncultured Eurotiales
Lineage: Eukaryota; Fungi; Ascomycota; Eurotiomycetes; Eurotiales
Description: sequence contains 5.8S rRNA gene, ITS2, 28S rRNA gene
Rfam family: 5.8S ribosomal RNA (bases 1-52)
Source: RNAcentral